GGGGCCGACAUGGUUUCGACUUCGUGCAUUGAGCUAGGGGAAGCGUGCCGGUGAAGGCAGAUGACCACCGUAAGCGUCGCUGCGAUUUCUAAGCGCCGAGAACACUCAGCGCGACUACGCCCUCGCUGCCUAAUUCAGCGACCGCGUGUCUGUCGGCCUAAGCUAGCCUCUGGCUUAGCACCCGGCAUCGUUUAAAGAGGCUUGCUGUGCAGCUAGGUCACUCGAGCUGCACGGGACAUCUUAGAGUGACUGGGCUCAUCGUCCGGGCUGGUUCGCGUGACCCGGAGAGCCGAGCAGAGAUGACAGCGAACUGCGCACGGAGAAGCCCUGGCGAAGUCGCGAAGGACGCGGGUUCAAUUCCCGCCGGCUCCACGA
Non-coding RNA from Corynebacterium urealyticum DSM 7109, 375 nucleotides. It matches the Rfam family "transfer-messenger RNA". Rfam says of the family: Bacterial tmRNA, also known as 10Sa RNA or SsrA, is named for its dual tRNA and mRNA-like properties. The record is from Rfam. Lineage: Bacteria; Bacillati; Actinomycetota; Actinomycetes; Mycobacteriales; Corynebacteriaceae.